RNAcentral lists this ribosomal RNA (253 nucleotides) under uncultured bacterium. RNAcentral describes it as "partial 16S ribosomal RNA". It matches the Rfam family "Bacterial small subunit ribosomal RNA", at positions 524 to 776 of the family's 1533-position model. The record is from RNAcentral.
UACGUAGGCAGCAAGCGUUGUUCGGAAUUACUGGGCGUAAAGAGUGUGUAGGCGGUGCUCUAAGUCCUGCGUGAAAUCUCGGGGCUCAACCCCGAGCGGUCGUGAGAAACUGGCAGGCUAGAGUGCGGGAGAGGAGAGUGGAAUUCCUGGUGUAGCGGUGAAAUGCGCAGAUAUCAGGAAGAACACCCGUGGCGAAGGCGGCUCUCUGGAACGCAACUGACGCUGAGACGCGAAAGCGUGGGGAGCAAACAGG